CUGUGGUUACUUUUGCACUACAAUGGCAGAGUUGAUUCUUUGUAAGGGAGACCAGCAAAACUUACAAUAUUUACUGUCUGGCCUUUUACAGAAAAAGGUUGCUGAUCCUUGAUUUAGAGCAUGAAAAUUGGAUUUUGCAUUCCACUUUUACUGCUUAACAAGUGGACUUUUGGGUUUGCUGAAGAAGAAAAAGAAGGAGAAGGAGAAGAAGAAGAGAAAUGUAAUUAACAAGAAAAAAAACUUAUUUGAGGGCUAUGAACACCUUGAAUAUUUAACAGAAUAUCAGCUACUCAUCUGUAACUCAUCUGUAACCAUUCUCUACAUGGCUAAACUUUUAGUAAUAAUGUAGGUAUUUUCUGGCCAAGAGAAAGAUAGGAUAUAUGUGUGUGUGUGUGUGUGUGUGUGUGUGUGUGUGUGUGUAUAACAGAAGAAAAUGAAAAGAAAAUAAAAUAAAGGAUAUUUUGGAGUCAGUGAGUAAAUAUUUACUUUUAGAGC
RNAcentral lists this long non-coding RNA (495 nucleotides) under Macaca mulatta (Rhesus monkey). RNAcentral's name for it is "lncRNA (ENSMMUG00000040425.2)". The record is from RNAcentral. Lineage: Eukaryota; Metazoa; Chordata; Mammalia; Primates; Cercopithecidae.